Molecule: small nuclear RNA, 107 nt
Organism: Myotis lucifugus (little brown bat)
Lineage: Eukaryota; Metazoa; Chordata; Mammalia; Chiroptera; Vespertilionidae
Source: Ensembl
GUGCUUGCUUCGGCAGCACGUAUACUAAAAUUGGAACGAUACAGAGAAGAUUAGCAUGGCCCCUGCACAAGGAUGACACGCAAAUUCGUGAAAUGUUCCAUAUUUUU